This 564-nucleotide ribosomal RNA is filed under the name uncultured bacterium. Its description in RNAcentral is "bacterial SSU rRNA". It matches the Rfam family "Bacterial small subunit ribosomal RNA", at positions 8 to 568 of the family's 1533-position model. The record is from RNAcentral.
AGAGUUGAUCCUGGCUCAGAUUAAACGCUGGCGGCAUGCCUUACACAUGCAAGUCGAACGGCAGCACGGGGGCAACCCUGGUGGCGAGUGGCGAACGGGUGAGUAAAGCAUCGGAACGUGCCCUGGAGUGGGGGAUAACGUAGCGAAAGUUACGCUAAUACCGCAUAUUCUGUGAGCAGGAAAGCAGGGGAUCGCAAGACCUUGCGCUCUGGGAGCGGCCGAUGUCGGAUUAGCUAGUUGGUGGGGUAAAGGCCUACCAAGGCGACGAUCCGUAGCGGGUCUGAGAGGAUGAUCCGCCACACUGGGACUGAGACACGGCCCAGACUCCUACGGGAGGCAGCAGUGGGGAAUUUUGGACAAUGGGCGGAAGCCUGAUCCAGCCAUGCCGCGUGAGUGAAGAAGGCCUUCGGGUUGUAAAGCUCUUUCGGUGGGGAAGAAAUUGCAUGGGCUAAUACCCUGUGUAGAUGACGGUACCUGGAGAAGAAGCACCGGCUAACUACGUGCCAGCAGCCGCGGUAAUACGUAGGGUGCGAGCGUUAAUCGGAAUUACUGGGCGUAAAGCGU